Long non-coding RNA from Brienomyrus brachyistius, 406 nucleotides. RefSeq lists it as uncharacterized. Lineage: Eukaryota; Metazoa; Chordata; Actinopteri; Osteoglossiformes; Mormyridae. The record is from RefSeq and is a predicted model, not a curated record. The transcript is spliced from 3 exons.
AAGGGUAAAUCCUGCAUCUCCUCAUGUAUCAUCAUUGAAUGUCAGCCAUGGUGUAAUUGGAUAUAGACAGCCAUUGGGGGGCGCUGUGAUCCACAGAUUCCUCCAGGACCUUCUCUCUGAUCCUCCCACCUCCCAAGACGAACCCUCAGGAUUCCUUGCUGAAUGCAUAUAAAGCACAAAAGCACACUGUCCUCCUCUCUCUGCAAGUACAAGCAAAACGUCAGAGCUCCUGCCAUGACGGCCAGGAUGGAACUGAGGCACGACACGGACUGAACAGCACGACAGAAUUCCUAAUGAGGGACCCGGUACGGGAAUGACAGCAUCUCUCGCCGUUACUACAACUGGAGGAGACAAGUAGCUGGGACGCCCUACCCGGAUACAUGGGAUUGGUAAGAGCAGAGUAACU